RNAcentral lists this ribosomal RNA (253 nucleotides) under uncultured bacterium. RNAcentral's name for it is "partial 16S ribosomal RNA". It matches the Rfam family "Bacterial small subunit ribosomal RNA", at positions 524 to 776 of the family's 1533-position model. The record is from RNAcentral.
UACAGAGAGUGCGAGCGUUGUCCGGAAUCACUGGGCGUAAAGCGUGCGCAGGCGGUUCGCCAAGUCCGGUGUGAAAUCCCCGGGCUUAACCUGGGAAUUGCGCUUGAAACUAGCGGGCUUGAGUGCGGCAGAGGGGGGUGGAAUUCCACGUGUAGCAGUGAAAUGCGUAGAGAUGUGGAGGAACACCGAUGGCGAAGGCAGCCCCCUGGGUCGACACUGACGCUCAGGCACGAAAGCGUGGGGAGCAAACAGG